AGGACGAACGCUGGCGGCGUGCUUAACACAUGCAAGUCGAGCGGUAAGGCCUUUCGGGGUACACGAGCGGCGAACGGGUGAGUAACACGUGGGUGAUCUGCCCUGCACUCUGGGAUAAGCCUGGGAAACUGGGUCUAAUACCGGAUAUGACCUGCUCUCGCAGUGGGGGUGGGUGGAAAGAUUUAUCGGUGCAGGAUGGGCCCGCGGCCUAUCAGCUUGUUGGUGGGGUAAUGGCCUACCAAGGCGACGACGGGUAGCCGACCUGAGAGGGUGACCGGCCACACUGGGACUGAGACACGGCCCAGACUCCGUACGGGAGGCAGCAGUGGGAAUAUGCACAAUGGGCGAAAGCCUGAUGCAGCCGACGCCGCGUGAGGAUGAAGGCCGUUCGGGUUAGUAAACCUCUUUCAGCGAGGACGAAGCGACGAAGU
This 431-nucleotide ribosomal RNA is filed under the name uncultured soil bacterium. RNAcentral's name for it is "bacterial SSU rRNA". It matches the Rfam family "Bacterial small subunit ribosomal RNA", at positions 26 to 459 of the family's 1533-position model. The record is from RNAcentral.